RNAcentral lists this long non-coding RNA (29277 nucleotides) under Sorghum bicolor (sorghum). RNAcentral describes it as "long non-coding RNA (SBIC_LNC008371)". Lineage: Eukaryota; Viridiplantae; Streptophyta; Magnoliopsida; Poales; Poaceae. The record is from RNAcentral.
CCAGAUGGCAGAUUAGACAUUCCUAAAGGUUGAAGGUUAUUGACAUGGGAGAAGACGAUGCAACCGCAACCAGAGGAGGCAAAUCAUCAAGGAUGGAUGAGCAGACUAUGAAGGAGAAGUAGUAAGGCCUGAAGACAUACAGCUUGAACAGAAAUAUCCUGAGGAGACCAUAGCACCGAGUCAGGUGUGGAGAGAGAAGAUAGUUAUACAUGAAGAGCAGGCGCCGCCGGAACCACCGACUACGCCAUCCAGCGAAUCCCAGGACGACUGAGAAAACAGAGAGUCCCGUUUGGAGGACUUAAAAACACCAAACGCCUUGCCAAGAGGUAAACUUGGUAGUUAUCCUUUUUCCUUUCAACUAUUUAAAAUAGUUUGCUUAGUUAAUCAGGUUCAUAUCAUCUUGAAAAGAAAAUAAAAAUAUUAAAAAUAGUAAGCCCCAUGUGAUUAUGCACAUGACAUGAAACCCAUAAGUACAUUCACUGUGGUGGCAUAAAAAUAAAAUAAAUAUAUUCCUGUCCUAUAAAAAUGAAAAUAUAAAAAUAAAUUUAUGAUCCUACCAAAGAGUGUAACAUUUAUUGAGGAGGCUCAACAUGAUAAAGGCUAGAUAUUUGUGCUAACACUUAACUAGUUCCACAAAGCUUUGUUGUCUAUUUGAGCUGCACAGAAUUCAAGGAUCAAAGAAGACUAGCAGAUGGAGGACAUCCUAAUCGCUGUGAGGGUGCUGCCGACAUUCAAAUACACCUCUGCCACCUGCUAGCUACAUUAGAAGAAAUUACGUCAAAAUCCAGCUUGGGGGAGAGCACCCCUAUUUAUCCAGCUAAGUGUUCUACUCACCUUUAUACUUUACUCAAAUAGUAAAAAGACGCAUGAUCAUAAAAACCCAAAUAAAGAUUUUGUGCUUAUAUAUAUAUAUAUAUCUUUGCUUAGUUUGCUAAAUAAAUAAAUAAAUAAAGUUUGCUAUGAACCCUCAUGAUAAGCUCUCACAUGGAAAUGAUGAAUAGUUGCUCUGCCAUGACUAGUUCUCAAAAUUGAAAUCUCUCUCAAGUUUAGACAUAACUGUUAUAAUUUAAAGCUUGCUCUAUACCUGAACUUGUGGAAAGAGAACUUGAUCUGAAGUCUAAGUUGUUAACAGAUAUGAUAUGGGAAGGUUGAGCUGUUGUUUAUCUGUUCCUAGAGAUGCUAGAAAACUGGAGAAUUUUAUCUUUGAAAAUCUUUAAAAUAACACAUGAUGAGUUCCUGUAUGAUGAGAGUUUAAAUUCCUACCACAACCAUAUAUACAUGCUUGCUAGACUUUGAGCCACACAUUUAAUUUUCACUGCUUAUGAGCAUUGAGUGUGGUCAAGCUGUGUAGACCCUUAGGAGCUUGUCAUGUGGUGAAAUCAAGAUUCACUUGCACAUUCACUCAUACAUGCUACUUCUACUCCGGAAGUACGCAUCCACAUAUAUCUACCCAUUUCCAUCUCCAGAACCACCCAAAAAUAUUCUACUCCUAAUCCGGGAGAGAAUAGCCAAAAACAUUUCUUGGUUACUACCACUUGCUACAUUAUUUCAAGAGAUGAGUGCUCUAAAAAAGAGAGAAAAAAAAUAUAUGAGGAAAUAAAAAGGGGCAAGUGCCCAGAACCUCGAAAGAAAAGAAAAAAGUGAGACGAGGGGUAAAAAUGGACAAGUGUCCGACAGUAGAAUUAGGGGUACAAGAUACCCACCUGAGAGAAAAGAAAAAGAAAAUAUAGAGCAUAUCAUUCUCCUCAAAAAGUUUGAAAAGAGCAAGAAAGGUAUGUAUCCCCUCAACAGAGCACAAGUAGAAUUAGACUUUCACCAUUGUUAUCACCAUCAUCACCAUACAACAUUCAUUCGCCACACAUGCACAUCUUGAUUUGACUUAUUGACUUGUUCUUCUGGAUCCAUGGUUUGACUAUGCAAUAAAUGUCUUCUAAGUAUGUAUUAGCUGUCUCCCACCUAUGAGCUCCAGAUAUCAAAACCUUAUUAGAGUAGGGUGAGAGAGAAGGCAAUGCCGCUAUGCCUUAUACCAAAAAUACAACAUACUUUGAGAGAAGGCAUACACUAUUACUGCCUUGGUAAGGAUCUAGAAAUACCACAAAAGAGAGACUAGAGAGAGUCAUACAUGGAAUCUCUGAGUUUUAUUUGAAAAUCUGCAAAAACUCCAGAGCUAUAGUUAAUCGAAGAACAAGAGACAUGGCGCUUCACUAGACCGUUCUAUCUUUUAAGUGCUCAAGACACAAGUGACUGUUGCAAGCCCUAUGGUGGAAGGUAAGUUUAAAUCUUAACAGUUUACCCUAACCCAGAGAUGAGAUCUUGUUUGAACGCAUGUGUACCUUUAAGGCAUGAAACCACUGUAGAAACUCUUGAUCCAUCUUUGCUCAGGGACAAGCAAAGGUUAAGCUUGGGGGAGCUUGUUGACGGUCCUUAAUGCUCAUAUUUAACCAUCAACUAAUCAUAGAAAAGGAUCCAAAUGCAACCAACACCCAGACUUAGGGUUUUAUCUGACAAAAUUCCACGAGUUUUGUUGUUUGUCUAUUUCUACAGGGGGUUAUCAGGCAAUAGGGAAGAAAGGCCCACACGUCGGGUUUACAUAGAGAUAUUAAUGUGCCGCGCAAUUUUCUAUCAUCUAGAAGACUCCAGAAGCGACGGGAACGAACGCGAAGCCGAGAGGGCUCAGGGACAGGGCGCCCGCCCUAGUCCUUAGGGCGCCCGCCCACCUUCAGUGUCCAAUUCGGACCCGUUUCGCGGACCACGCUCCACCGACCUAAAGGAUCAAGGAAAACCAUGCGAUUAAUGUCGGUUGAUCCGACGGCCCAGAUUCAUCUGAAAAGACUAUAUAAGCAAGGCCCCCUGGCCCCUGGAGAUCAUACCUCUUCUACAGAAUCAAAGCUAGGGUUUCAAUUCUUCAUCCAAGUAGAGAGGAUCCCUCUAGUUCAUCUAGUUCUAGUUCUAGUUCUUCUAGUUCUAGUUCUAGUUAGUUCUAGUUGUAAUCUAGAAAAUAGGGAGAGAGAAGAGGAGAGCGGAGGAGGAGCCGGAUCUGUCGGAUCUUCCUCAACAUUAUACUUUUGCUGCAACUGGUUCGUUCUUCAUCGUUCUCCAAGUUUUUCAAUUCAUAAUUCCUGAGUUCUUUAAUUAAUUUUAUUUACAUUCAAGUUAUUUAUUGGAUUCCCGCUUGCAUCAAGUGCUCUAGUCAUUAUAACGCUAGAGUAGUAAUCAAUAGAUUAGACGUGGUGUUUAGCCUUGCAAUUACUUGGAAUUGUACCCAAUCCUGUGGAUUGUUGUGGUAGCCCUAGGGUAGUGACAGCCCUAAUGGUCGUCGUAUUCCACCUUGUUCGGAUCGGUGUUUGUAGGACCGUAGUCAGAGCUUCCUAGCCCCCUUCUCAACUCUUUCUGUGGUUACUGUUCUGAUGUCCCGAAAUAAAUAAUCUUUGAAGUAAUGCUUGAUUCUUAGAUCAACUAGAGAACUCUCAGGAAACUUCCUCUCUUCUCAUCAAAAAUAAUUAUAUAGUUAUCCUAGGGCGAUCUUGAAUCUUAAUUAGUACACUCACGUUCCCUGUGGAAAAUUUAUACUCUGGAAUACUCCCGGGUGAAAGCUACAUCGGUAUCCGUGCACUUGUGGAUUUUUUCUGUUUGCAUUUAAAAUACCCAACAACCAGACAAGCUAAUCAACCUUAGCUACUCCUACUUAGUCACUGGUUUCAUGGGCAGAAUAACUAGUCUCAAGAUUCAGUUAUAACUUCAGCAUCAUGUGGCCAAACUAAGCAAGUAGAUACUUUCUGGAAAGCUUAGCAAAUUGUCUAAAAUUCACUUUUAGACAUCGCAGAAUGAUUCCCAACCGAAAUAUGCUAAAACAUACAAAGUUGGCUGGCUGUCCUGGAAAAUCCAGAGAUCAAGCAUUUCGCAGCAGCUACUUGUAACAUUCAUAACUUUUAAACUACUCAACUAAAUGUCAUGAAAUUUGGACACGAAGUAGAUAAGUAAUUUAUCUACAUGUUUGUCAUAGACAAGUUUUCCAGAAAACUUUAUCUUCAAGCUGAUCCUGAACAAUUGCUAUCAGCUACACAGAAAUGCUCUAGGAAAGACAUAAAUAGCAAAAAUAAUAUUUUCCACAUAGUAACAAUGUAACAUAGGCUCAAACCAAAUGCACCAGUAGAUAGAACAUGUCUAAGAAACACCAUAAAACAUCAUGGCAAGGUUUAAACUCAUUUCUAUCAUCACCUUUUCUAUUUAUUUAAUUAUUAAGAUGAUUUAAUAAACAUUUACCAUAAGUUCUCCAAAAAUUCCAAUAACAUUACAGCAUGCUAUCUAUACUAUCAUAAGGUUACUGUAAAAUUUUCAGGGCACUUGCACAUGCAGAUUGUGAGAUACAAAAAUAACAAGCUAGCAAAGGCAUUCAAGGCAUAAAUGUGAAACCCUAUCAAAAAGUGUCAAACAACAGAUUUCAGAUUUUUCUUAGCUUUGUCUACACAUGAUUACAUCACUCAGCAAGUUUCACCAUAAAAGAAGUUAUAAUCUAUUUACUAAAAAUACUACAAGAAUCUCCUAUUUAAACAAGAAAUAUUUAUAACUUCACUAACAGACAUCCAAAAAUCAUGACAAAUUUAGCCGAGCUUAUUCAUGUCAUAAGUAACAACACCCUAAAUUUGCAUGGCCAUCAGAUUCACAGAUAUCAAGAUAUAAUUACCUCCUAUUUAAUCAAGAUUAAAUCAUAUCUAUUUAUUUCAGCAAAAACAUGGCAUGUUUCAUAUUUUUAAUAAAAACUAGAGUAACACAGGAACCUAGCAAAAUUGGAAUCACAUCAUUUGGAUCUGUAUAACUUGAGUUAUGAAUUUUACAAAAUCAACAUAGGAUCUGCAAAAUAGAAAACCAGGGUGUGUGGGAGAGAGGCUGACAGGGGGACCCACGGUUCAGCGGGACCCGCUUGACAGCAACACAGAGACAGGGGAGAAGCUCGUCGCCGGCAAAACUCGACGACGGCGAGGUCUCCGGGGAAACCAAGGGCAUCUACGUGUUCCUCUCCUCAAGGCGAACUCGUUGACCUACUUUACACGUGCUCUACUGGACCCUAGGGUGCUCGCCGUCGCGAAUGGCGGAGCGGCGGUGCGGCGCGGCGUUACGCCGGCGAACCUAGGCAACGACGACGCGGUAGAGGUUGCGGACGAGCAAGAGUGAAGGAAGGCGAAGCUAUAGGAAGAAGAAUCAUGGCCAGAGGUGAACCAGAGAGGUCUGGCCACGUUGCCGGUGAUCUCUACGAACUCCGGCGAGGUGGAGCUCGCGACGGAGUUGGCAAUGUGGCCUCACUAGUGCUCGGCUAAGGGAAAGAAGUGGACGUCGAGGUAGAGGACGUCGAGGCGGAGCUCUGGGCGGGCUGGCUUGGCCGGAGACGUGGUGGAGCGGCGGGGAGAGCUCGUCGAAGCGCGGCGGAGCUCGCCGAGGCAAUGGCAGAGCAAAAUGGAGCGCUCUGAGCGAGUGGAGGUCGCGUCUGAGGCGUCCACUCGGUGCGUGGCGACUUGUGGAUGUCGUGGGAGCUGACCGGAGGGGCCGUCGACGGCGUACGUCCGACAGGUGGCUGGACACGCGGCGGCGGGUGAGCUCUGUCCAAACUGAAACGGUUUCUGAAUCGCCCGAUUUCAGUGUGUGAAACUUGAUUUUCAUCAACGUUUUACUCUCAGCUCACUCGAUGGUUUUGGCUCAAAUUUGAUCCUUUGGAUAGAACUACAUGAGAUCUAUAGAUUUGCUUAAAAGAUCAAAGUCUAAUUCAGCCUGGAUUUCAAACCACAAGGCUCCCAAGAACCCUAUGUCGAAACUACCGAAUCCGAGACUUAGCCAAAUUCGGCUAAGUGUGGAAACAGCACUGAUUUCUGUCUUGUGAGCUAAAUUUGGUUGUGUUCCAAGCUUUUUCAUAAAAUGUCAUCAACAUAACUUUUGUAGCUUAUGAAAUUUACUACAACUUUGUUUUAGGUGUCAUUUACAUGCAAGGUUUCUAACACCAGUUUCAUAAAAAAUCUUUGAAAAGAGGUCUAGGGUGUCAAUUAGGUCAACCUAGGGCUAACCAUGACAUAGGGGUAUUUUUGGACAAAACCUCCAACAUAAACUUUGUUCACAAUGUUAUUCUAAACAUGAUUAAAGUAUUUUGGAAGGCAAUGUGCACUUAUAUGCAUUGGUCCCACAUUAUUAUCCCUCAUAACAAGCCAUACAAGCAAUUCAAUCAUACAUGGUAUACAUAAGAUGACAUGUGAUCAUGAUGGAUGCUUAUGAAUGAGCAUGAUGAUGCUUAUGUUGAUGCAAUGUUCAUGGUUAACAUGCAAGCUAACACUAGGAGUGUUACAGUCCUCCCCCCUUACAAAAAUCCCGUCCCGAGAUUUGAAAGACGUACCAUUUUUCAUAGAAUGCGGGAUAAGUUACUUGUAAAUAGUCUUCCCUUUCCCAAGUGGCAUCUCUUUCACUUUGGCACAAAACUCUGAAAAGUUUAAUCACUCUCCCCAGAGUAACUCUUUCCUUGACAUCAAGAACUUGUGCUGGCUUCUCUUCAUAGGAUAGAUCGGACUGCAACUUAAGAUCUCUUGUUUCAACUCUCUCUUCGGGCACACGAAGGCACUUCUUGAGUUGAGACACGUGGAAUACAGGGAAAAUAGCUCUCAUUUCUGGAGGUAGUUGUACCUUGUAAGCUACCUUGCCGCUCUUCUCAAUGAUUUGGUAGGGACCCACAUACCUAGGGGCGAGCUUCCUCUUUACACCGAAGCGAUUCACACCCUUCGUGGGCGAUACCUUCAGGUACACAAAGUCACCUACUUCGAACUCGAGUGGCCUUCUUCUUUGAUCGGCAUAGCUUUUCUGUCUAGCUUGGGCAGCUUCCAUGUGUUUCUGGAUAACGAGAACUUGCUUUUCAGCUUCUUUGACAAAGUCAAUUCCGUAGUACCUCCUUUCACCAGGUUCGACCCAGUUUGGAGGAGUUCUACAAUUGCGGCCAUACAAAGCUUCGAAAGGAGCCAUUCGAAUGCUUUCUUGAUAGCUAUUAUUGUAUGAGAAUUCAGCUAAGGGUAGCCAUUUUUCCCAUGCACCCUUGGAAGAGAUAACGCAUGCCAUCAACAUGUCUUCCAAGAUUUGAUUCACACGCUCACUCUGACCUGAGGUUUGGGGAUGGUAGGCUGAACUGUGAACCAAGUUUGUACCAAUGAGUGAAUGCAAAUGCUCCCAAAAGCGGGCAGUGAACUGAGGACCUCUAUCAGAAAUAAUAGUGCGGGGCACUCCAUGUAAUUUAACAAUCUGAGAGAAGUAUAACUCAGCAUAGUCAGAUGGUCGGUAUGUAGAAUGUACGGGAAUAAAAUGAGCUGACUUGGUCAAAUGGUCAACAAUCACCCAUAUGGAAUUGUGUCACCGGAGCCUUGGACUACAAAGCACCUACCUCAUAAGCCCUCUUGCCGUUCUUGGACGCGGCAUAAACAGCAUUGGUGUUCUCCUGGGUCAACGCAUCACUCACAAACUCGUUGAAGGUGGUACUCUUGUUACUAGCCAUGUUCUUGGACAGUUUGGGCCCAAGACCUCUCUUGAAACUAGCAAGUUUCGUGGCCUCAGUUUCAACAAAUUCAGGAGCAUAGCAAGACAAGUUAUUGAAAGCAUGAAGAUACUCAGUCAAACUUUGGUUCCCUGAGUCAAAUUCAUGAACUCGGUAUGUGUUGAUAUUUGGUAACGCAAUAAGGAAAUGAUCCGCAAGCGCACGGAUAUCGGUGAGCAUUUCACCCGGGAGGUUAUCCAGAGUAUCGUAUUUAUAUUUUUACCACUGGGAGAAACGGUGCAUCUGACUAACCAAAUCUAUUGCUACUACCAUUUAGGCUACAAAGAAUGUUUCUCGAUGUGAGUGAUGUAUAGAGAAGACUGCAACCGCAGUCUCGUUCUAACCUUGGUAAGGAUGAUCUACUGUUCUAUAGGGGGAAGCUUACGGAAUCUAGACACCAUAAAGGAUGUUCGACCCGCACCUAUAAACCUACCCGUCCUGCUAACGAGAUGUGGUCUGCAAAGGUAACUCGGAAAUGUCACGUAGUCAGGGGAUAUCUAUGAGUACCCUAGCCCAAACACCACGUUUACGCUAGCAAUGAUUACUCUAAACUCAACCGGAAGAGAUUAAAGUAAACUCAUAAACCAAAGAACAAUAAGAACAAGAACUUACUAGAAUUAGAAGUCGAAUUACUGAAGAAUCCUAGGAGCAAGCCUCGGGUUAGGAGAACUUGAUCCCGCAGGUACAACCUCGGAGUAGACACUGACAGGCCGGGCUUCCUCCGAUCUACACCUCCACUCUAUAUCUCUCAAUCUAGUAGAAACUAGAAGAUCUAAUUCUACUCACAUUGGAUGCUAUGCCUAAAAGAAAUUUUAUUUAGAGGAGAGGUAUUCCUUCGAGGACUCCUCUCAACUCUAUGAUGAACUUGUCUCCUCCAGGGGCCAGGGGGUCUGCUUAUAUAGUCUCCUCCUUUUGUGCCUUUUUGGUUCAGCAGGCGAUGUGGUACUAAACUUUCCACCAUAUCUCAUUAAAAUGCACAUAGGCCAUAAUGGACCAAAAUGUGAUUUGGCCCAAUUAAUCCCGUAGCUCUUUUAUGUGGAGUCCUUUUAUUAAUAUCUCUUGAUUCCGAACUCCAAAUAUAGCAAAUAAUAUAUGCAUUUCGAUCAGCUCGAUGAGAUCUUUGUAAUGGUGUACUCCAUUCUGUGAUUGGUGCUUGUACUAGGGUGGGCGCCCUGCCCUCGGGCCCGUUCGGCCUCCCGUUCGUUCCCGUGGCUUCUAGAGUCUUCUAGAUGAUAGAAAAUUGCGCGGCACAUUAAUAUCUCUAUGUAAACCCGACGUGUGGGCCUUUCCUCCAUAUUUCUUGAUAACCCCCUGCAGAAAUAGACAAACACCAAAACUCGUGGAAUUCUGUCAGAUAAAACCCUAAGUCUGGGUGUUGGUUGCAUUUGGAUCCUUUUCUUUAUUUAUUUGAUGAUUAUAUUUGGUACUUAAGAACUGUCAACAAAGUCCCCCAAGCUUACCUCUUGCUCGUCCCUGAGCAAGGAUGGACUCAAGAGUUUCUACAAUGGUUUCAUGCCUUAAAAGUACACAUGCGUUCAAGCAAGAUCUCAUCUCUGAGUUAGUAAACUGUUAAGACUUAAAACUUACUCAUUUUACCUUUCACCAGGGGGCUUGCAACCGUCACUUGUGUCUUGAGCAGUUAAAAGAUAGAACGGUCAAGUCAAGCGCCAUGUCUCUUAUUCUUGAUCAGCUAUAGCUCUAGAGUUUUUGCAGAUUUUCAAAUAAAACUUAGAGAUUCCUUGUAUGACUCUCUCAAAUCUCUCUUUUGUGGUAUUUCUGGAUCCUUACCAAGGCAAUGAUGGUAUAUGCCUUCUCUCAAAGUAUGUGGUAUUUGUGAUACGAGGAAUAGUGACAUUGCCUUCUCUCUCAUCCUACUCUAAUAAGGUUUUUGUAUCUGGAGCUCAUAGGUGGGAGACAGAUAAUACAUACUUACAAGACGUUUAUUGCAUAGUCAAACCAUGGAUCCAGAAGAACAAGUCAAUAAGUCAAAUCAAGAUGUGCAUAUGUGGCGAGUGAAUGGCGUAUGGUGAUAAUGAUGAUAACAAUGGUGAAGGUCUAAUUCUACCUUUGCUCUUUUUAGGGGAUACAUACCUUUCUUCCACUUUGAAGCUUUUUUGAGGAGAUUGAGAUGCUCUAUAUUUUCUUUUUCUUUUCUCUCAGGCGGGUAUCUUGUACCCCUAAUUCUACUUAAUUCUACUGUCGGACACUUGUCCAUUUUUACCUCUCGUCUCACUUUUUUUUUCUUUGAGGUUCCGGGCACUUGCCCCUUUUUAUUUCCUCGUAUUUUUCCUCUUCUUCUUUUUUAGAGCACCCAUCUCCUGAAAUAAUAUAGCAAGUGGUAGUAACCAAGAUAACUCGAGCAUUUAUUUCAAAGGAAAAAUAACAGAAAUAGGAGAAUGUUUUUGGCUAUUCUCUUCUGGAUAGGAGUAGAAUAAUUUUGGGUGAAUCUGGAGAAGGAAAUGAGUGGAUGUAUGUGGAUGCGUACUUCCGGAGUAGAAGUAGCAUGUAUGAGUGAACGUGCAAGUGAAUCUUGAUUUUUAACCGCAUGACAAGCUCCUAAGGGUCUACACAGCUUGACCACACUCAAUGCUCAUAAACAGUAAAAAGUAAAUAUAUGGUUCAUAGUCUAAGAAACAUGUAUAUGUGGCUGUGGUAGGAUUUUAAACUCUCAUCAUACAGGAACACAUCAUGUGUUAUUUUAAAGAUUUUCAAAGAUAAAAUUCUCUAGAAUUCCAGCAUUUCUAGGAAUAGAUAAACAACAGCUCAACCUUCCCAUAUCAUAUCCGUUAACGACUUAGACUUUAGAUCAAGUACUCUUCCCACAAGUUCAGGUUUAGAGUAGGUUUAAAUUAUAAUAGUUAUGCCUAAACUUGAGAGAGAGCUCAAACUUGAAAACUAGGUAUAUGGCAGAGCAACUAUUUAUCAUAUCCACGUAAGAGUUCAUCAUAAGGGUUCAGUUUGGCCUAGACUCUUUAUUUAUUUAUUUAGCAAACUAAGCAAAGAUAUAUAUAAACACAAAAUUUCUAUUUGGGUUUUCAUGAUUAUGCAUUUUUUAUCAUUUAAGUAAAGUAUAAACGUGAGUAGAAACACUUAGCUAUAAACGCGAGUAGAAACACUUAGCUGGAUAAAUGGGGGUGCUCACCCCCAAGCUGGAUUUUGACGUAAUUUCUUCUGAUGUAGCUAGCAAGUGACGGAGGUGUAUUUGAAUGUUGGUAGCACCCUAACAGCAAUUAGAAUGCCCUCCGUCUGCUAGUCUUCUUUGAUCUUUGAAUUCUGUGGAGCUCAAAUAGACAACAAAGCUUUGUGGAACUAGUUAAGUGUUAGCAUAAAAUCUCUUAGCCUUUAUCAUAUUGAGAUUCCUCCUAAUAAAUUUUAUUUAUCAGGAUCAUGCAACUAUUAUUUAUAUUUUUAUUGUAAGAUGAAAACAUAUUUAUUUUAUCCCACCACAGUGAACGUACCUAUGGGUUUUAUGCCAUGAGCAUACUCACAUGGGCUUACUAUUUUUAACAUUUUUAUUUUCUCGAGAUGAUAUGGACCUGAUUAACUAAGCAAACUAUUUUAAAUAAUUGAAGGGAAAAGGAUAACUACCAAGUUUACCUCUUGGCACGGCGUUCGGUGUUUUUAAGUCCUCCGAACGGGACUCCUUGUGUUUUCAGUCGUCCUAGGAUUCGCUGGGUGGCGUAGUCGGUGGUUCCGGUGGCACCUCCUCUUCUUGUAUAACUAUCUUCUCUCUCUGACUCGGUGCUACGGUCUCUUCAGGACAGUUCUGUUCAAGCUGUAUGUCUUCAGACCUUAUCACUUCUCCUUCGUAGUCUACCCAUCCAUCCUUGAUGAUUUGCCUCCUCUGGUUGCGGUUGCGUCGUCUUCUUCUUGUCCUGACCUGCUUAGAGUCUUCAACUAUAUAGUUAGAAUCAUUAAAGUAGUGGCGUACCUUCUCAGAGAGGAAGUGCAUGUGGACUUCUCUGGUUCCAAUAUAGAUGAUAACUUUGAUACUGUUGAGGAACAGUCUUCCAAGGAUGGUGGGUGGAUCAUACUCGUCUUCUCCCAUGUCAAUGACCUGAAAAUCAUCUGGAGUUGAAUAUAUAUUGGUUGUAGGGGCAUGGUUCCAUGCAGGAGCUGAUGAGUGACUGCGGCCAUUAUGUUGUCGUCAGAUCCGGUGUCGUAGAGUGUCUUCUGAAAAGAGUAUCUAUUGAUUUUGCACUCGAUGCUUGGAACACCAGGGUCAUCUUUCUUCAUCCUUUAGGUGCAUCAUUUGAUUAGGUGUGGACCUUGACGUUUGCACCUCUUGAUACGGAGUCACCCAUGUUCGUUGUUUGCCCAGCAGUUCGAAGUGCGGUGUUGGCAAUAUCCUGCUUAGUGUGUUUGUGCUCGUAGAUCUAGGUCCUUCACUUGGUGGAGUCUUGGAGUUGUAAAACUCCUCCAUGUUUUGCUUGAAGUGUACCUACUCAUAAAGACAAGGCAGAGAUCAAGUGCAUGGGCCCUGUUGGUGAAAAACACCAACAGAACCAAAAGUGUAUUUGUUCUUCUCUAACCUUAAGCAUAGUGAGCAAGACAAAGUUGAUGGAUCAUGAGUGUAGCAUUUGUCAGAUCAGAUGGCUCAACCUAAUGGAAAGAUGAUCUAUCUAUAUUUAUGUUUUGUUUAUAUCUUCCAAAGAUUGAAUGUGCAACAUUUUAGCUUAUAUGAUUAGGAGUGUGGGAUCACGAAGGUAGUACUAAGAACAAAGAUUACAGGACUAAACAUGUUGAAUUAAUCGGUUAAUUUGGAGCUACAAAUCAUGUUUGUCUCUUUAUUUUAUGUGAACGCUAAAACCAAGGAGAAACUUAUAAAAGCGAUAGUCAAGUACCUUAAGAUGUUACCUUACUUGAAGAGUGAUGGUAUAGUAUCACCUUGUGGAAGCUUUCCUUUCUUAGCGGUUGUGCAACGUGUUUGUGGCACCCUCCAUGGAUCAUCUCUUUAUGAUGAAUGAGCUAUGUCCUUCUUGUGCAAAUUGUUAAACUUCAUGUGUCUCCUUUAUCUCCAAUGAGUUUGUAUCUCAUGACUUCCCAGGUUGAUAUUGAAAGUUUUUCUGCAGGGGUUAGUCCGAAAAAAUAUACCAAUGUCUACUUAAGUAGUUUUUUAGUUCAGUAACCAAACUAGACUCCAUGUCUAAUCGGAUUAAGGAAGGCUGUUUAACCUAAGCACCACGCUUAAUUUAAAAGCCAAUGGAAGUAUGUACAGUACUUCCAAACUAACACUUACUAGGAUAACCAUAGGUAGCAUGAUGGCUUUUAUAGAGAUCUACUUAAGUGGAGAAGUAGUGUGACUAGUAUUUAACAAAUCAAGCAUGUCUCAAAGGUAAGGACAACCAACAUAGCAAGUUGGCAAAUGAUGUUUUUAUGUAAAGUACUCCCCCAAGCUUGAAUUUUGCAAAAUUCAAGAUUGGAUGAAUUUAAUUCAAUGUUGCAUGAUGAUUGGUUGGACAUACCUUGCGCUUGUCAUUCCUUGGAUCUUCUUGCUCCAAUCCUAAAAGGUUAGUGACAAGAAUACCCAAAGGAAUAUUUAUACAAUUAUCUUUAUAUGUUCCAUACACAAGGCAAUGUUGCAAAUAAUUAGAAGUUCAUGUUACGAUCUUAUCAGUGCUUGUUUUAGGACACUAAGCUUGUCCUUGGGAAACCAUCAAUUUAUGUCGGCAAAGUAGUUUCCCCUCCGACGCUGACCUAUAUCAAGAUCAACUCAACGAGAUCUGCAAUAUUUAUUAUAGACAUAUGCAUCGACAACCGCCCUUUUAAAGUUUUUAUAAAUAGAAAAGAUGAGGGGGUUGGAGAUCUCAAAUGCGGUGAUGUUGGAGAGACCAAUUGAUUGGGGAGAUGUUUUAUAUGAGCAAGGACUUGGUGAGGUAUUUAUGAAAUAACUUCUAUGCUCACUAUUGUUUCUCUCAUUCUCAAACUCCAAGGAUGAUUCUUCAUGAAUGCUUAAAAAUCCUCUAGGAUUGUCUCUCAAGUUUGUUUUAUCCAUCCAUUUAAUGGUGAUAGCAUAUGGAUUUUUAAUGCCCUCUAGCCAUUGAUGUUGCUCUUCUUGAUCCUCCUUGUGGUCUUGGUGACUCUUAUGAAUGGGAUGUCUAGAGAGAUUCAUAGGAUCAUCGGGAGGUUCAAGAGAAAGAGCAUAGGAGAAAUUAUUAGGCUCAAGGAUGGGUUGGAUAGCCGAAUCAUGGGAUUAGAAUGUUUGGAAAUCGGCUAUUGAAACUUCCUUUCCUCGUCUGGGAGAUGAUUCCUUCUCUAUCUCUAGGAUAUUUUUAUGAAGACUAGUGCAAGAAGAAUGUCCACAAAUGAAGACAUACUUUCCUUUACUAAUAGAUAAAGAAAGAAAGACUCUACCAAAGGUUAUAUGAUUAAGACCAAUGUGAAAAUAUCGAGAAAAAACAUGGUCUUGUAGGGCUAGGUUUAAACCAGAAUUUAUAGCAAGAUUAACAGAUUCCCUUGGUGUAGCUAAAAGUGCAUUAUCUUCUUGAUUAAAAGAUAGGACUUUGGCUAUAGAAAAGGGUUGGUUUUGACCUAUUGCAAUCAACUCCAGACACAAAUCAUAAUUAGGGGCAGGACUUGUUGACUCCCAUGGUCCAUGGCUGGUCUCCGAAGGUGCAAAGAAUUCAAUAAUAGGUAUGGAAUUUAAGUUAUCCAUAGAGAUAAAAAUAAAAAGAUAAAAGAAUAAAAGUAUAAAAGUAUAAUACAAGAUAUAGCAAGACUUAAAGUUAUCUCAGCAAACCGUCUUUGUCCUCGGCAACGGCGCCAGAAAUGCUUGUUGAUAUUUGGUAACGCAAUAAGGAAAUGAUCCGCAAGCGCACAGAUAUCGGUGAGCAUUUCACCCGGGAGGUUAUCCAGAGUAUCGUAUUUAUAUUUUUACCACUGGGAGAAAGGGUGCAUCUGACUAACCAAAUCUAUUGCUACUACCCUUUAGACUACAAAGAAUGUUUCUCGAUGUGAGUGAUGUAUAGAGAAGACUGCAAUCGUAGUCUCGUUCUAACCUUGGUAAGGAUGAUCUACUGUUCUAUUGGGGGAAGCUUGAGGAAUCUAGACACCACAAAGGAUGUUCGACCCGCACCUAUAAACCUACCCGUCCUGCUAAUGAGAUAUGGUCUGCAAAGGUAACUCGAAAAUGUCACGUUCCUCGCUACUACCACGGUCCAGCUAGUUAGGGGAUAUCUAUGAGUACCCUAGCCCAAACACCACGUUUACGCUAGCAAUGAUUACUCUAAACUCAAACGGAAGAGAUUAAAGUAAACUCAUAAACCAAAGAACAAUAAGAACAAGAACUUACUAGAAUUAGAAGUCGAAUUACUGAAGAAUCCUAGGAGCAAGCCUCGGGUUAGGAGAACUUGAUCCCGCAGGUAUAACCUCGGAGUAGACACCGACAGGCCGGGCUUCCUCCAAUCUACACCUCCACUCUAUAUAUCUCAAUCUAUUAGAAACUAGAAGAUCUAAUUCUACUCACAUUGGAUGCUAAGCCUAAAAGAAAUUUUAUUUAGAGGAGAGGUAUUCCUUCGAUGGCUCCUCUCAACUCUAUGAUGAACUUGUCUCCUCCAGGUGCCAAGAGGUCUGCUUAUAUAGUCCUCUCGUUUUGUGCCUUUUUGGUUCAGCAGGCGAUGUGGUACUAAACUUUCCACUAUAUCUCAUUAAAAUGCACAUAGGCCAUAAUGGACCAAAAUCUGAUUUGGGCCCAAUUAAUCCCGCAGCUCUUUUAUAUGGAGUCCUUCUUUUAUUAAUAUCUCUUGAUUCCGAACUCCAAAUAUAGCAAAUAAUAUAUGCAUUUCGAUCAGCUCGACGAGAUCUUUGUAAUGGUGUACUCCAUUCUGUGAUUGGUGCUUGUACCAGGGUGGUCGCCCAAGGGGGGAGGGCGGGCGCCCUGCCCCCGGGCCCGUUCGGCCUCCCGUUCGUGAUAAGUGGUCCGGGAGGGCGGGUGUUUGCCACGAGUGAGACUUUAGGUUUUGAGCUCAAACAUGUCAUGAUAAGUGGUGAUGGUCAUGUUGAGGUCAAUCCAAGAAAGCGAGCCUCAAGUUAAACUUCGAAUAACCUCAUUAAGUGAAUAGAACCAUGGGUCACCAACCAAUCCUUGCAACCUUACCCAGAUGACUCUAGAUGAACUCUACAACAAAAGUCAUGAAUGGUUCAUGUUGAGAUUUAGCCUAGAAAAUGCUCCAAUUAGCCUAAAACCUUAGUUUGAGCUUUAUCAAGUUGCUGCUUCGACCAAGUCUGGAAUUGCAGUUCAUCACGUUGGCAUUCCGUGUUCUCCAAAUUUUACUAAAUAACUUGUUUGGGUCCCAAAAUAGAAGUUCGAGUACAUGUUGUGGACAAGAGCAUACCAAAAGAUGACACCAGUUUGACUUGGUUUUGGUCAUUAAUUUUGAGUUUUGCUAAUCACUAUCAAUUCAUUGACACUCAAAGGUUGGCAUCAAAUUAUCUACUAAUCUGCAACUCUAAUGACCAUGGCACCUUAAUCAAAGUUGGAGAGUGUCAGGAGUAGAGCAAACUUUGUUUUUGGCUCAUAUCCAAAUUCGGUCCAAAUCCGGCUCAAAUCGGCUUCCCACACUGACCACAUCGUUGCCCGACACGUGCUUAGUGGAAUGCCUCAAUGGCAGGACGCGUGGAGAGCGCGUGGCGACCAUGCAUGAGUUCAAGCUCUCCAUUGCUGUCACCUCUGCCUUGCUCUCUGCCUCUCUGAUGCCAGGAGCAGAUGGGCGACCUUCCUUGCCAUCUCGAAUGCCCCCUUCCCCUCUCCAAACUCUCCUACUUCCGCUCUCUCCCUCUGUCCACCAUGGAUAGGAAGCUGAGCUCCAUGGCCGACCUCCACCGACCACUCCCUGCUCUACCUCGAGUCCAACCAUGGCCGAAUAGCUCUAGAGCUACGCGGCCUUCCCUAGCCCUCCUCCACCCAUUCACUGCUGGUGCCACCUCCGGACUCCGGUGGAAAUCGAAACAGGUUUCCUCUGUCUCUGUACGAAAGUAGAGAAGAGGAAGGACCUCGGGUUAGAAUAUAAAACAACUCAGGGUUCAGUUGUGAAACCCAGACUCAUAUGAAUAGUAUUACUGGGUUGUGGCGUGAUUCAUGGAAAAUCUAGGGUCGCCGGUGCAAGAUCUGUUUUCCUUUUCUUUAGUUUUUGCAGAUUUUAUGGAUGAAAUUUGGAAAUGCAUAGAAAUUCAUAGAAAUGUCGUAAAAUAGCAAAUGAGGACUUUUUGGAAUCCUUAUGAAAUUCUCUAUGCAGUAGAUCUAUAUUAUUACAUGUUUUAUUUUGAAGUUUUAACGGUAAAAAUAGAUUUGUGCAGUUCGGUUUUAAUUGCUUGUUAAAUUUGUCUUUUUCAUAACCACUGUAUUAUUGCUCCAAUAAAUGUGAAAAUAUUAUGACAUUCUUUUCAUAUGAUAUUGGAUGUCUGGUAAAAGUUUAAUGAAUUUAGGAUUGAUAGAAUAAGAGUUAUAAAAAUAACAAAUGCCCUUUGUUGCUUUGCUCCUAUUCUGAGUGGAUCUGACUAUUUGUAUUAUUUGGCUCAAUUAAGUCGUGAAUCUUGCCUGGAUGAAAAUAUAUAAGUUUUAGUACUUUUCAUAAGCUUUUAAAAAAGAAAAAUAGCACAAUUUUUGGUUAAGCACAUGUUUAGUUAUAGUAGUUUAAUGUACUAUUCUAGUUUCUGUCUAAACCCAGACUGGAUUGCAUUGUUUGUAAUGUAAGACUUUGUUAGUUGUAGAUUUAGCUCUAGAUGUUUAUAAUAAAAUUGUUCACAAUUUAGUAAGCUUCCUAGAAAGUACAUAACCAUAAUUUAUGGGCAUAUGAAACUCAACUUAUGGCUGUUUAAUGUGGCAUGAUAGAUUCUGUCCAUGUUUUGAACACAGAUGUCUUUAUGGAGCUUGAUAAAUGGUUUAUAAUUAUAAAUAAAAUCUAAAAAUGGAAAAUGUUGUUCCAGUAUAAUUCUAUGAUAUUUUUGUAUCAUGUUGACAUAUAAUAUGGUCAUGUGUUUGAAGAAAAUAUGAUUUGUACAUUUAUCUUGCUCUCACAUGGUUAAUUGCAAUAGCAAUUUAUCUUUUUCAUAGAUGUUGCUAAGCUUAUUCAAAUGCAAUGAAAUUGGUGCAGUAGACUAUGGAUAGUAUGUAGUAGCUACUGUAAUUUUUGUAGAAUUUACUGUACAUAUUUGGUAUAUGUUCUUUAAUUCACCUUAUUAUCCAAAUAAAUUAAGAAAGGAAUUAAAUAAAUUUAUUUGGUAAUGACCACUAUGUUUUCUGGUGUUCUUUACAUAUGUGGGACAUGUUAGUAAUAAUGGUUUAGCUCAAAUGCAUGUUUGAAACAUAAGUUAAUAAUUAAUUGUUUGCAAUUGUUGUUUCUGGACAGUUUCUGGAACUGUUUGGAUUAUAAUAUGUAAAUGAUAUUUUCUGGGAAUCUUGUCUAUAGCAAAGUUGUAGAUAAUUCAUUUAUCUAGCUGCUGUUAAAAUUUGGUAGUAUUUGGCCCUGUGGUUUGUGAGUUGUGUCUGUUCAAAGUUGGAUUCCAGAAAUGGCUGCUCUCUGUUUGUCAGGGACAGAUUCUGGAAAUUUAUAAUUUCGACCAGCUUAAGUUGAGAAUCAUGCUUUGAUGUCUAAAUAUCAAAUGUAGAUAAUUUCUUAAGCUUUCCAGAAUAUCUUCUUUCAUGUCUUUUGGAGUUACGUAACUCCAGUUAUGAUUUAUUUACUCAGGUGCCGUUAACAGUCCUAAAAAUGGCAGAUUUCUUGUAAUGCUGUUGCUUGGUAUAUUGCUAUGUAUGACUCAUGUCUUUGGUAAUGGCCAAGUUAAUAUAUGUGAGACCUUGUGAAACAUGUAUGCCCUGUCUAAUAUAUUUAGUGUUGCAUUCUUUGUUGACUUAGCAUGUUGGUUGUGUAAUCAUUAAGUUGAGCAGUGAGAUGUCCUUAAGUAUGUUUAGUGUAACCAUGCUCUUGCCAUGCUUCUUGUGUGUGUUGCUUUGUCUAUUGCACUUCUAUGUGUUCAUACACUUGCAUCUUGCAUCUCAUUUAGGUACGCUAGAUGAACUACGUGAAGGACUUUAUGGUGGACCUAUCAGGAUGAUGGAAGGACUACACAAGUGUUGUCAUCUUAGAUGUCGUCAAGAUGGCGAAAGCUAACUUAACUGACUUGUGUCGGAUUCCAGGUAAGCCCCGGAGCAUUCUAAUUCUCCUACCCUCUCAUUUUAUAAAAGCACUGUUGGGUAUUCUUAACAUCAUUACCAAAAGUAGACUUAGUUUUCUAAUUCUAGUAACGGUGCCAAAAAUGCCAAACCUAUCCCUCAUACCACUUAAGCCAAGUUGUCAUCCCCAGCAUGACAUGAGAGACGCGGUAUUGAAAUAUGCAAUUGCUCUUCUAAAUAAAUAAUGAAUGGGAUCUGCAAGCGCACAGAUUAAUACCGAUGUAGCAUUUUAACCGGAAAGUAUUUCAGGUAUCGUUAUUUAUAUUUUUACCACUAGGAAGGGAUUAACAAUCAUCAAUAUUGAUUACAGAAUAGAAUAUGAGAUUGCGUAUCUAUCAUUGCAUGUAUAAUUGAGAACAUUUAUCAAACUCCUUCAUACAAGGGUAAGUGUCACAUGAAGGAUAUAUGAAAUAAUGAAUAGUAACAAAGAUAAUUAAUCUGAUCAUAACUUAGCCACAUAAUAAAUAUGAUAAGCACCUCAAUUAGAUACUCUAGAAAGUCAUUAGCAUUGUAUUAGAACGAACUACAAGAAUAUUUCCUAAGUUAUUCUCAACUAUAUAGUCUAGCAUUAUCAUAGUUAGUGCAAGCAUACUUAGCAAUCAUUGUGAGACAAGACUAUGCCCAUGCAUAGUGAUAUUAGCAAGGUAAAUGAGAAACAUAGCAAUCACUCCCCUGUAAUAAUGUUGCUCUGCCAGCCCAAUACACGAGAGGGGGACUAUAUAAGAAUCAAUGAAGCUGUCACUAUCACGAACUACCCCACGAUCUGGCAUAUUGGUGGCAUAUUGGGUACAAUCGCAGAUAAAUACGGUAUAAGCACCACGCCUACACAAUAUCUAUCAUUUAACCAUGGAUCCGAUGGAUAAAUGCUAUACGAUCCUAAACAUGUAUAUAGAUCCAAUCUAACUAAGCCAAGUAUAUAACUAUGAUAAACUAAGAACAAUAUAAUUUUGAAUAUAAGCAAGUAGAGCAAAGUCAUAAGCAAUAUAUUGAAGUAGAACAAAGUCAUAUUCAUAAUAUUGAAGAACAAAGAUAAUUAGGAGAACAAUUAGAAGCACAAUUAGAGAAUUACCAAGAAUCCUCUUGACAGAUCCAGAAACCAAUCGAAGAUUGACUCCUUCUAGUUCUAAUCCUAUGUAGCUAUGCUAAUCUAGAUGUGUAAUUGAUGUGGUGGCUCUAAUCUUGAUCACGGGCUUCUUCUCCCUUGAGGAAUAAUGAAUUUGAGUUGAGAGGCUCUCUCCUCUAAGGCCAGGGGGUCUGGUUUUAUAGUCCCUUCAAGUGAAUAUGGGCAGUUGGAUCAAACCGACAUUGAUUGAACGGUUAUCCUUGAUCCUUUAGGUCGGUGGAGAUCUUCCCCGAAACAGAGUUCUCAUUGGACUCAGCAGGAGGGCGGGCGCCCAGGGCAACUAGGCGGGCGCCCAGUGCCUGGCCCCGUUCGGCCUCCGCUUCCUUCCCGUGGCUUCUGGAGUCUUCUAGAUGUAAGAUAAUUGCGCGGCACGUUAAUAUCUCUAUGUAAUCCCGACGUGUGGGCCUUUCUUCCGUAUUUCCUGAUAACCCCCUACAGGAAUAGACAAACACCAAAACUCAUGGAAUUCUGUCAGAUAAAACCCUAAGUCUAGAUGUUGAUUUCAUUUGGAUCCUUUUCUUUGUUUAUUUGAUAAUUAAAUUUGAUACUUAAGGACCGUCAACAAACUCCCCCAAGCUUACCUCUUGCUCGUCCCUGAGCAAGGAUAGACUAGAAGUUGCUGCAAUACUUUAAAAAUUUGACGGUACACAUGCUUUUAAAUGAGGUCUCAUCUCUGAGUUAGAGUAAACUGUCAAGACUUAAAACUUACUUACUUUACCUUUUACCAUGGGACUUGUAACCGUCACUUCUGUCUUGAGUGGUUAAAAGAUAGAAUAGUCUAGUCAAGUGCCAUGUCUCUUAUUCUUUAUCAGCUAUAGCUCUGGAGUUUUUGCAGAUUUCCAAAUAAAACUCAGAGAUUCCUUAUAUGACUCUCUCAAAUCUCUAUUUUGUGGUAUUUUUGGAUCCUUACCAAGGCAGUGAUGGUAUAUGCCUUCUCUCUCACCCUACUCUAAUAAGGCUUUAAUAUCUGGAACUCAUAGGUGGGAGAUAUACAUACUUACAAGACAUUGAUUGUAUAGUCAAACCAUGGAUCUAAAGAAACAAAUCAAUAAGCCAAAUCAAGAUGUGCAUGUGUGGCGAAUGAAUGGUGUAUGGUGAUGAUGGUGAUAACAAUGGUGAAAGUCUAAUUCUACUUUUGCUCUUUUGAGGGAAUACAUACCUUCCUUGCUUUUUGAAACUUUAUGAAGAGAAUGAGAUGAUCUUCUUUUUCUUUCCUCUCAGGUGGGUAUCUUGUACCCCUAAUUCUACUAUCGGACACUUGUCCAUUUUUACCUUUCGUCUCACUCUUUUUCUUUUCUUUUGAGGUUCCGGGCACUUGCCCCUUUUUAUUUCCUCGUAUUUUUCUCUUUUUUCUUAGAGCACUCAUCUCUUGAGAUAAUAUAGCAAGUGGUAGUAACAAGAUAACUUGAGCAUUUAUUUCACAAGGGAAAAAUAGAAAUGUUUUUGGCUAUUCUCUCCCGGAUUAGGAGUAGAAUAUUUUUAGGUGAUUCUGGAGAUGGAAAUGAGUGGAUAUAUGUGGAUGGUACUUCUGGAGUAGAAGUGGCAUAUAUGAGUGAACGUGCAAGUGAAUUCUUGAUUUAACCACAUGACAAGCUCCUAAGGGUCUACACAGCUUGACCACACUCAAUGCUCAUAAGCAGUAAAUAGUAAAUGUGUGGUGCAAAGUCUAGCAAGCAUCUAUAUAUGGCUGUGGUAGGAAUUUAAACUCUCAUCAUACAGGAACUCAUCAUGCAACAUUUUAAAGAUUUUCAAAGAUAAAAUUCUCCAGAAUUCUAGCAUCUCUAGGAACAGAUAAACAGCAGCUCAACCUUCCCAUAUCAUAUCCGUUAACAACUUAGACUUCAGAUCAAGUUUUCAUUCCACAAGUUUAGGUCUAGAGCAAGCUUGAAAUUAUAACAGUUAUAUCUAAACUUGAGAGAGAACUUAAAAUGUGCAAAUUAGGCUGAGCAACUAUUCAUCAUAUCCAUGCUAGAGUUUUAUUUAGAUACAGAUUAGCAUAGCCACUUUAUUUAUUUAUUAAACACACUAAGCAAAAGGCAAAUAUAUAAGCAAAAAAUCUUUAUUUGGUUUUUCAUAGUUAUAUUUUAUUAUAAUAUAAGUAUAAAGAUAGAUAGAUAGAAAUACUUAUCGGGAUAAAUGGGGGUGCUCUCCCCCAAGCUGAAUUUUGACGUAAUUUCCCUUGAUGUAGCUAGCAGGUGGAAGAGGUGUAUUUGAAAGUCAGCAGCAUUCUGACAGCGAUUAGAAUGUCCUCCGUCUGCUAGUCUUCUUGAUUCUUGAAUUCUGUGGAGCUCAAAUAGAUAACAAAGCUUUGUGGAACUGAUUAAGUGUUAGCAUAAAUAUCUAGCCUUUAUCAUGUUGAGACUCCUUAAUAAUUAUUGCUCCCAAUUUUUUUUAUAUUUUCAUUUUAUAAAGUAGAAAGGAAAUAUUUAUUUUAUUUUUAUGCCACCACAGUGAAUGUACUUAUGAGUUUUAUGCCACUCGUAUACUCACAUGGGCUUACUGUUUUUCAUUUUUAUUUUCUUUUUAGGAUAGUACGAACCUGAUUAACUAAGUAAACUAUUUUAAAUAAUUGAAAGGGGAAGGAUAACUACCAAGUUUACCUCUUGGCAAGGCGUUCGGUGUUUUUAAGUCCUCCGAACGGGACUCUUCUCUUCCUCAAUUGUCGUGGGAUUCGUUGGGUGGCGUAGUCGGUACUUCCGGCAGCGCCUUGUUGACGGUCCUUAAGUACCAAAUAUAAUCAUCAAAUAAAUAAAGAAAAAGAUCCAAAUGCAACCAACACCUAGACUUAGGGUUUUAUCUGACAGAAUUCCACGAGUUUUGGUGUUUGUCUAUUUCUGCAGGGGGUUAUCAGGAAAUACGAAAGAAAGGCCCACAUGUCGGGAUUACAUAGAGAUAUCAACGCACCGCGCAACUUUCUACCAUCUAGAAGACUACAGAAGCCACGGGAAGAAAGUAGAGGCCGAAAGGGGCCAGGCCCAGGGCGCCCGCCCUCUUUCCCUGGGCGCCCGCCUUGUCCUGGACUCCGUUCGGGACUCUCUUCGCACACGAUGUUCCACCGACCUAAAGGAUGAAGGAUAACGUAGUACCACAUCGCCUACCGACCCAAAAACAUAUACAGGAGGAGAACUAUAUAAGGAGACCCCCUGGCCCCUGGAGAAGACAAGAAGUUAUCAUAGAGUUGAGGGGUGCCCUCGAAGGAAAACCUCUUCUCUAAAUAAUAUUUCUUUUUAGGCUUAGCAUCCAAUGUAAAGUAGAAAUAGAUCUUCUAGUUUCUACUAGAUUGAGAGAGAGAGUGGAGGUGUAGAUCGGAGGAAGGCCGGCCUGUCGGUGUCUACUCCGAGUUGUACCUGCGGGAUCAAGUCUUCUAACCCGAGGCUUGCUCCUAAGAUUCUUCAGUAAUUCGACUUCUAAUUCUAUGUAAGUUCUUGUUUUAUUGUUCUUUGGUUUAUGAGUUUACUUUAAUCCUCUUCUGGUUGAGUAUUAGAGUAAUCAUUGCUAGCGUAAACGUGGUGUUUAGGCUAGGGUACUCAUAGAUAUCCCCUGACUAGAUGGACCGUGGUAGUAGCGAGGAACGUGACAUUUCCGAGUUACCUUUUCAUCCCAUAUCUUGUGAGAAGGAUGGGUAGGGUUUAUAGGUGCGGGUCGAACAUCCUUUGUGGUGUCUAGAUACCGUAAGCUUCCCAAUAGAAUAGUAGAUCAUCCUUACCAAGGUUAGAACGAGACUACGGUUGCAGUCUUCUCUAUACAUCACUCACUUCGAGAAACAUUCUUUGUAGCUUAAAGGGGUAGUAGCAAUAGAUUUUGUUAGUCGGAUGCACCCUUUCUCCCAGUGGUAAAAAUAUAAAUACGGUAACUCUGGAUAACCUCCCGGGUGAAAUGCUCACCGAUAUCCGUGCGCUUGCGGAUCAUUUCCUGAUUGCGUUACCAAAUAUCAACAAGCAUUUCUGGCACCGUUGCCGGGGAGAAAGACGGUUUGCUGAGAUAACUUUGAGUCUUGCUAUUAUCUUGUAUUAUACUUUUAUACUUUUAUUCUUUUAUCUGUUUAUUUUUAUCUUUAUGGAUAACUCAAAUUCCAUACCUAUUAUUAAAUUCUUUGCACCUUCGGAGACCAGCCAUAGACCAUGGGAGUCAACGCGUCCUGCCCCUAAUUAUGAUCUGUGUCCGGAGUUGAUUGCAAUAGGUCAAAACCAACCCUUUUCUAUAGCUGAGGUCCUAUCUUUUAAUCAACAAGAUAAUGAACUUUUAGCUACACCUAGGGAAUCUCUUAAUUUUUCUAUAAAUUCUGGUUUAAACCUAGCCCUACAAGACCAUGUUUUUUCUCGAUAUUUUCACAUUGGUCUUAAUCAUAUAACCUUUGGUAGAGUCUUUCUUUCUUUAUCUAUUAGUAAAGGAAGGUAUGUCUUCAAUGGUGGACAUCCUUCUUGCACUAGUCUUCAUAAAAAAUUCCUAGAGAUAGAGAAAGAAUCAUCUUCCAGACAAGGAAAGGAAGUUUCAAUAGCCGAUUUCUAAACAUUUCAAUCCCAUGAUUCGGCUAUCCAACCCAUCCUUGAGCCUAAUAAUUUCUCUUAUGCUCUUUCUCUUGAACCUCCCGAUGAUCCUAUGAAUCUCUCUAGACAUCCCAUUCAUAAGAGUCACCAAGACCACAAGGAGGAUCGAGAAGAGCAACAUCAAUGGCUAGAGGGCAUUAAAAAUCCAUGUGCCAUCACCACAUUUGAGAUCUCCAACCCUCUCUUCCUUUCUAUUUAUAAAAUCUUUAAAAGGGCGGUUGUCGAUGCAUAUGUCUAUAAUAAAUAUUGCAGAUCUCGUUGAGUUGAUUGAAGGUUUCCCAAGGACAAGCUUAGUGUCUUAAAAUAAGCACCGAUCAGAUCGUAACAUGAACUUUUAAUUAUUUGCAACAUUGCCUUGUGUAUUGAGCAUAUAAAGAUAAUUUUAAAAAUAUUCCUUCGGGUAUUCUUAUCACUAACCUUUCCAGGAUUGGAGCAAGAAGAUCGGAUGAAUGACAAGCACAAGGUAUGUCCAACCAACCAUCAUACAACAUGGAAUUAAAUUCAUCCAAACUUGAAUUUCACAAAAUUCAAGCUUGGGGGAGUACUUGACAUAAAAACAUCCUUUGCCAUGUUUCUAUGUUGGUUGUCCCUACCUUUGAGAGAUGCUCAAUUUGUUAAGUACUAAUCACACUACUUCAUCUCCACUUGAGUAGAUCUCUAUAAGUGUUGUCAUGCUACCUUUAUCUAUUUACUAGCAAGUGUUGGUUUAGAAGUACUCGACAUACUUCCAUUGGCAUUUACAUUAAGCAUGGUGCUUAGGUUCAAUAGCCUUCCUUAAUCUGAUUAGACAUGGAGUCUAGUUUGGUUACUGAACUAAAAACUGCUUGAGUAGAUAUUGGUAUAUUUUGUGGGACUAACCCCUGCAGAAAAACUUUCAAUAUCAACCUGGGAAGUCCUGAGAUAAACUCACAUUGGAGAUGAAGAAAGUGAAACAUGAAGUUUAACAAUUUGCACAAGAAAGACGUAGCUCAUAAGAGAUGAUCCAUGAAGAGUGCCACAAACACGAUGCACAACCGCUAAGAAAGAAAAGCUUCCACUCUUCAAGUAAGGUAACAUCUUAAGGUACUUGACUAUUGCUUUUAUAAGCUUCUCCUUGGUUCUGGCAUUCACAUAAAUAAAGAGACAAACAUGUAUGAUUUAUAACUCUAAAUUAACCAACCUAACGGAUUCAGCAUGUUUAGUCCUUUAAUCUUUGUUCUUAGUACUACCUUCGUGAUCCCACACUCCUAAUCAUAUAAGCUAAUAUGUUGCACAUUCAAUAUUUGGAAGAUAUAAACAAAACAUAAAUAUAGAUAGAUUAUCUUUCCAUUAGGUUGAGCCAUCUGAUCUGACAAAUGCUACACUCAUGAACUUAUCACCCAUCAACUUUGUCUUGCUCACUAUGCUUAAGGUUAGAGAAGAACAAAUACACUUUUGGUUCUGUUGGUGUUUUUCACCAACAGGGCCCAUGCACUUGAUCUCUGUCUUGUCUCUAUGAGCAGGUACACUUCAAGCAAAAUAUGAAGGAGUUUUACAACUCCCAGACUCCACCAAGUGAAGAACCAGGAUCUACGAGCACAAACACACUGGAGAUACUGGACGCUCAGGCAAUCACUGCCCUGAGAUGCUUGAGGACGUGAACUACAUCAACAACAAUAACAACUAUUACUACAACCGUCCUCAACAACAUCAAGGUUGGAAUCAACAGAGGCCUAAUUACUCAAAUAGGUGAUCCAGGACGCCCCGUCAUCCCGAUCUCCAUCGGCAUGGUGGACUUCCCAGAAGCACUCUGUGACUUUGGCUCCAGCGUCAACAUUAUGCCCAGGGUUGCAGAUCGGACACUCAGUUUCCCAAAGGAAAUAUUGAAGAACCUCUGCGUCCGAGUUGGUACCUUGUACACUCUAGCAGACUUCGUGGUGAUAGAGACUGGUACUGAGGAGAGGGCACCCAUCAUCUUAGGGAGGCCAUUCCUAAACACCAGAGCUGUCAUCUACGUUAAUGCUGCCAAGAUCAGUUUCUACAUCAAGGGGAAGAAGGAGACUUUCCUUCAAGAACAAGACUACACAAAUUUCAGAGCAAUCCCGACACGAACCAAGGAAGAGGACCAACAGGAGGAACAGGAACAAGCAAAUGUGGACCGAGUCAGCUAAGAUGAUCACUGCAGUUCAAAGAUGUCAAAAUCGUCGACUCAAGUCGCCUUUCCUGAUCAAGAAGGACGACCCUGGUGUUCCAAGCAUCGAGUGCACAAUCAAUGGAUACUCUUUUCAGAAGACACUCUACGACACCGGAUCUGACGUCAACAUAAUGGCCGCAGUCACUUAUCAGCUCCUGCAUGAAACCAUGCCCCUACAACCAAUAUAUAUUCAGCUCCAGAUGAUUUUCAGAUCAUUGACAUGGGAGAAGACGAGUACGAUCCACCCAUCAUCCUUGGAAGACCUUUCCUCAACACUAUCAAAAUUAUCAUCUACAUUGGAAUUAGAGAAGUCCACGUGUACUUCCUGAGAAGGUACACCGCUAUUUUACUGACUCUAACUAUAUAGUUGAAGACUCUAAGCAGGUCAGGACAAGAAGAAGACAACGCAACCGCAACCAGAGGAGGCAAAUCAUCAAGGACGGAUGGGUAGACUACGAAGGAGAAGUGAUAAGGUUUGAAGACAUAUAGUUUGAACAGAACUGUCCUGAGGAGACCGUAGCACCGAGUCAGGUGUGGAGAGAGAAGAUAGUUACACACGAAGAGGAGGCGCCGCCGGAACCACCGACUACGCCACCCAGCGAAUCCCAGGACGACUAAGAAAACGGAGAGUCCCGUUCGGAGGACUUAAAAAUACCGAACACCUUGCCAAGAGGUAAACUUGGUAGUUAUCCUUUUCCAUUCAAUAGUUUGCUUAGAUAAUCAGGUUCAUGCUAUCUUGAAAAGAAAACAAAAAUGUUAAAAAAAUAGUAAGCCCCAUGUGAGUAUGCUCAUGGAAUAAAACCCAUAAGUACAUUCACUGUGGUGGCAUAAAAAUAAAAUAAAUAAGUUUUCAUCUUACAAUAAAAAUAUAAAAAUAAUAAGUGCAUGAUCCUGCUAAAUAAGUAAUAUUUGUUGAUGAGGCUCAACAUGAUAAAGGCUAGAUAUUUAUGCUAACACUUAACCAGUUCCACAAAGCUUUGUUGUCUAUUUGAGCUCCACAGGAUUCAAGGAUCAAAAAAGACUAGUAGACGGAGGACGUCCUAAUCGCUGUCAGGGUGCUGCCGACUUUCAAAUACACCUCCACCCUGCUAGCUACAUCAGAAGAAAUUACGUCAAAAUCCAGCUUGGGGGAGAGCACCCCCAUUUAUCCAGCUAAGUGUUUCUACUCGCAUUUAUACUCAAAUAAUAAAAGAUGUAUAAUCAUGAAAACCCAAAUAAAGAUUUUGUGCUUUUAUAUAUCUUUGCUUAGUUUGCUAAAUAAAUAAAUAAAUAAAGUUUACUAUGAACCCUCAUGAUAAGCUCUCACAUGGAAAUGAUGAAUAGUUGCUCUGCCAUGACUAGUUCUUAAAAUUGAAAUCUCUCUCAAGUUUAGGCAUAACUGUUAUGAAUUAAGAUUUGCUCUAAACCUGAACUUGUGGGAAGAGUACUUGAUCUAAAGUCUAAGUCGUUAACGGAUAUGAUAUGGGAAGGUUGAGCUGCUGUUUAUCUGUUUCUAGAGAUGCUAGAAUUCUGGAGAAUUUUAUCUUUGAAAAUCUUUAAAAUAACACAUGAUGAGUUCCUGUAUGAUGAGAGUUUAAAAUGCUACCACAGCCACAUAUACAUGCUUAUUAGACUAUGAACCAUAUAUUUACUUUUUACUGCUUAUGAGCAUUGAGUGUGGUCAAGCUGUGUAGACCCUUAGGAGCUUGUCAUGUGGUUAAAAUCAAGAUUCACUUGCAUGUUCACUCGUAUAUGCUGCUUCUAUUCCGGAAGUACGCAUCCACAUACAUCCACUCAUUUCCAUCUCCAGAGUCACCCAAAAUUAUUCUACUCCUAAUCCGGGAGAGAAUAGCCAAAAAACAUUUUCCUAUCCCUGUUAUUCCCUGUGAAAUAAAUGCUCCAGUUAUUUUGGUUACUACCACUUGCUACAUUAUUUCAAGAGAUGAGUGCUCUAAAAAAAGAAGAAAAAAAAUAAUAAUAUACGAGGAAAUAAAAAGGGGCAAGUGCCCGGAACCUCGAAGAAAAGAAAAAGUGAGACGAGAGGUAAAAAUGGACAAGUGUCCGACAGUAGAAUUAGGGGUACAAGAUACCCACCUAAGAGGAAAGAAAAAGAAAAUAUAGAGCAUCUCAUUCUCCUCAAAAAGCUUCAAAGUGCAAGAAAGGUAUGUAUCCCCUUAAAAGAGCAAAAGUAGAAUUAGACUUUCACCAUUGUUAUCACCAUCAUCACCAUACACCAUUCAUUCGCCACACAUGCACAUCUUGAUUUGACUUAUUGACUUGUUUCUCUGGAUCCAUGGUUUGACUAUGCAAUAAAUGUCUUGUAAGUAUGUAUUAGCUGUCUCCCACCUAUGAGCUCCAGAUAUCAAAACUUUAUUAGAGUAGGGUGAGAGAGAAGGCAAUGUCACUAUGUCUCAUACCAGAAAUACCACAUACUUUGAGAGAAGGCAUAUACCAUUACUGCCUUGGUAAGGAUCCAUAAAUACCACAAAAGAGAGAUAUAAGAGAGUCAUACAAGGAAUCUCUGAGUUUUAUUUGAAAAUCUGCAAAAACUCCAAAGCUAUAGCUGAUCAAGAAUAAGAGACAUGGCACUUGACUAGACUGUUCUAUCUUUUAACUGCUCAAGACACAAGUGACGGUUACAAGCCCCAUGGUGAAAGGUAAAAUGAGUAAGUUUUAAGUCUUAACAGUUUAUUCUAACUCAGAGAUGAGAUCUUGCUUGAAUGGGUGUGUAUUUUUAAGGCAUGAAACCAC